RNAcentral lists this transfer RNA (76 nucleotides) under Acidaminobacter hydrogenoformans DSM 2784. RNAcentral's name for it is "tRNA_Val_GAC". It matches the Rfam family "tRNA". Rfam says of the family: Transfer RNA (tRNA) molecules are approximately 80 nucleotides in length. Their secondary structure includes four short double-helical elements and three loops (D, anti-codon, and T loops). Lineage: Bacteria; Bacillati; Bacillota; Clostridia; Peptostreptococcales; Acidaminobacteraceae. The record is from RNAcentral. RNAcentral also lists the same sequence under 2 other names.
GGGAGCUUAGCUCAGCUGGUAGAGCACCUGCUUGACGUGCAGGUGGCCACAGGUUCGAGUCCUGUAGCCCCCACCA